AGAAAGGUAAGCUAAGUAUAAGCUAAUGGGUUCAUACCCCAAAUAUAGAGUUAUGUACUCUCUUUUCUA
RNAcentral lists this transfer RNA (69 nucleotides) under Paraneotermes simplicicornis. Its description in RNAcentral is "tRNA-Met". Lineage: Eukaryota; Metazoa; Arthropoda; Insecta; Blattodea; Kalotermitidae. The record is from RNAcentral.